This 504-nucleotide ribosomal RNA is filed under the name uncultured bacterium. RNAcentral's name for it is "partial 16S ribosomal RNA". It matches the Rfam family "Bacterial small subunit ribosomal RNA", at positions 899 to 1397 of the family's 1533-position model. The record is from RNAcentral.
ACUCAAAUGAAUUGACGGGGGCUCACACAAGCGGUGGAGUAUGUGGCUUAAUUCGAGGCUACGCGCAAAACCUUAUCCUGGGCUUGACAUGCACGGAUUAGCCGGCGGAAACGUCGGCGACGCCGCAAGGUGGAACGUGCACAGGUGCUGCAUGGCUGUCGUCAGCUCGUGCCGUGAGGUGUUGGGUUAAGUCCCGUAACGAGCGAAACCCUUGCCCCUAGUUGCCAGCACGUCAUGGUGGGGACUCUAGGGGGACCGCCGGCGUCAAGCCGGAGGAAGGCGGGGAUGACGUCAAGUCCUCAUGGCCCUUAUGCCCAGGGCUGCACACGUACUACAAUGGGCCGGACAGAGCGACGCCAGCCCGCGAGGGUGAGCUAAUCGCAGAAACCGGCCCUCAGUUCGGAUUGCGGGCUGCAACCCGCCCGCAUGAAGCUGGAAUCGCUAGUAAUCGCGGAUCAGCAUGCCGCGGUGAAUGGGUUCCUGAGCCUUGUACACACCGCCCGU